CUGCUGCCUUCCGUAUGAGUUUGGUCCGUGUCUCAGUACCAAUGUGGGGGGUUGACCUCUCAGUCCCCCUAUGUAUCGUCGCCUUGGUGAGCCGUUACCUCACCAACUAGCUAAUACAACGCAUGUCCAUCUCUGACCACCUGAGUUUUCAACCACCGAAGAUGCCUCCGGUGAUGUUAUGGGGUAUUAGUACCAAUUUCUCGAUGUUAUCCCCCUGUCAAAGGUAGGUUACAUACGCGUUACGCACCCGUCCGCCGGUCGCCGG
RNAcentral lists this ribosomal RNA (265 nucleotides) under uncultured bacterium. RNAcentral describes it as "partial 16S ribosomal RNA". The record is from RNAcentral.